UUUAAACUUAAAUAUUUCAAUUCCAAAUAAAAAUUAAACUUUGAAUCCGAUUUUAUGUUCAUUUAAAAUCUUUACUAAAUAAUCUAAUCCAAACACGGUAUUAUAGAGUAGAGCUACUAUGCUAUCAGAAUCAUAAAGUAGUUGGUGUUUCCGAUUUUUUAGCCUUUAGAUCAACCCCAUUGAUUAUUUCUAACCAUUGGAUUAAUAUUAUUAACCAAUGGGGACCACUCAACCCUAGGGGAACCACUCAACCCUAAGGGGACCGCUAUCAUCCCAACCAUAAAAUCUUUGAUCUAAGGGCUAAAAAAUCGAACGUGUAGUUGGUGCUUCCGAUUUUUUAGCCUUUAGAUCAACACCAUUGAUCAUUUCUAACCAUUGGAUUAAUAUUAUUAACCAAUGGGGACCACUCAACCCUAGGAGGAUCACUCAAAUCUAAAGGAACCGCUAUCAUCCCAACCGUAAAAUCUUUGAUCUAAGGGCUAAAAAAUUGGAAACACCAACUACUUUAUGCUUCCAAUAGCAUAGUAGCUCUACACCGGUAUUAUAUUAUAUAUUUUAAUCCAACCCUAAUAUCAGUCAUAUCAUGUAUCAUUGUUCGGUUCAUUACCAAAUAUGCCCUAUGUCACGCCCCGCGGCCGCCAGUUUGGUCGAUUCGGGUAUGCACACAAACCGUCGAACGGAUAGAGUCUCCCCUGUACCCCCCAAGGCUCAACAACAUCAUGUACAUCUAGUUUUGCCCAGGUAAAAGCAUACAACAUACAUGAUUUGCGCAAGAAAAAUAAAUAAGAGUAAGAGAGAAAUUUAACUAAGCUAUUACAACCAUUCAUUUGUUUGUCCAUUUACAACUUACCAAAAUACAACCAUUUAAUUCACACAUAGAUUUCCUCACUACAUGUUCUUUCCAAAAUAUAACAUAUCUCUCACAUAAAUAUUUACAUGGUAUACUAAUGCACGGGAGGUCACUAUUGUAACAUAUCGAAUCUCCGGGUUACAAUGCUAACUUUGAUCUAAUUGAUCAAAGUGAGGCUUGAGCUGGUUGUGUGUUGUUCCUGAGCAAUUCUGGAUUCGUGGGGAUGAUUAGAAGUGAUUUUUGGAGGUAUCUAGAUGUUUCUGGCGC
This 1117-nucleotide long non-coding RNA is filed under the name Ananas comosus (pineapple). Its description in RNAcentral is "long non-coding RNA (ACOM_LNC029282)". The record is from RNAcentral. Lineage: Eukaryota; Viridiplantae; Streptophyta; Magnoliopsida; Poales; Bromeliaceae.